UGUGGGUGGCAAACAAAGACGACA
Molecule: microRNA, 24 nt
Filed under: Arabidopsis lyrata
Lineage: Eukaryota; Viridiplantae; Streptophyta; Magnoliopsida; Brassicales; Brassicaceae
Description: aly-miR851-3p
Gene: aly-miR851-3p
Source: miRBase by way of RNAcentral